GUGGGGAAUAUUGGGCAAUGGGGGGAACCCUGACCCAGCGACGCCGCGUGGGUGAAGAAAUCCUUCGGGAUGUAAAGCCCUGUUGUAUGGGAAGAGCGGAAGACGGUACCAUACGAGGAAGCCCCGGCAAACUACGUGCAAGCAGCCGCGGUAAUACGUAGGGGGCAAGCGUUGUCCGGAAUUACUGGGCGUAAAGCGCACGCAGGCUGAAUUAUAAGUCGGUAGUAAAAGGAGGGGGCUCAACUUCCGUAUAUCUAGCGAUACUGUAAAUCUAGAGUAUGUGAGAGGGAAGCGGAAGUCCCGGUGUAGCGGUGAAAUGCGUAGAUAUCGGGAGGAACACCAGUGGCGAAGGCGGCUUCCUGGCACAAUACUGACGCUCAUGUGCGAAAGCUAGGGCAGCGAACGGGAUUAGAUACCCUUGUAGUCC
This 427-nucleotide ribosomal RNA is filed under the name uncultured bacterium. RNAcentral describes it as "partial 16S ribosomal RNA". It matches the Rfam family "Bacterial small subunit ribosomal RNA", at positions 354 to 796 of the family's 1533-position model. The record is from RNAcentral.